CUAAUCCUCGUGAUGGAUGGUUUCCGGACGGCAGAGAUGUUGUCCGGAGAGCAAAAGGGAAUGCGAAGGCGUGGACCCCAACCGGGCACGCGGAACGCAGCCGACCCCGCGACUGUAUUGCAGCGAGGGUUAUCCAUCCGCUCUGCCGGGAUUGGUGGCGACGGGUCGCAGGGUGCGACCGGCCUCUGAAGAACGGCAGGACGGAAAAGCCACUGGGGUGGCAACACGAUCAGCCGGGGCAGGACGCCUCUUUUUCUACGAAUCGUCCGCUCUUUCGUGUUGCUGACAAACCCUGGGAAGGCGAGGAGAACCCGACGGUCUUUCGAGGACCACGACCUGCGAGCCAGGAGACCUGCCAUCCACGGGCAUGGUGC
This 374-nucleotide non-coding RNA is filed under the name Agrobacterium albertimagni. RNAcentral also lists the same sequence under 1 other name. Lineage: Bacteria; Pseudomonadati; Pseudomonadota; Alphaproteobacteria; Hyphomicrobiales; Rhizobiaceae. The record is from RNAcentral.